GACGAACGCUGGCGGCGUGCUUAACACAUGCAAGUCGAACGGAGUGGCGAACGGGUGAGUAACACGGGGGUGAACUGCCUUGCACUUCGGGAUAAGCUUGGGAAACUGGGACUAAUACCGGAUAGUGCAAGAUGAGCUCGCGGCCUAUCAGCUUGUUGGGGGGGUAAUGGCCUACAAAGGCGUCGACGGGUAGCCGGCCUGGGAGGGUGUACGGCCACAUUGGGACUGCGAUACGGCCCAGCCGCCUACGGGAGGCAGCAGUCGCGAAUAUUGCACAAUGGGGGGAAGCCUGAUGCAGCGACGCCGCGUGGGGGAUGAAGGCCUUCGGGUUGUAAACUCCUUUCGCCAGGGACGCGGUACCUGUAUAAGAAGCACCGGCUAACUACGUGCCAGCAGCCGCGGUAAUAC
Molecule: ribosomal RNA, 408 nt
Filed under: uncultured bacterium
Lineage: Bacteria
Description: partial 16S ribosomal RNA
Rfam family: Bacterial small subunit ribosomal RNA
Source: RNAcentral